RNAcentral lists this small RNA (2382 nucleotides) under Pan troglodytes (chimpanzee). Its description in RNAcentral is "retained intron". The record is from RNAcentral. Lineage: Eukaryota; Metazoa; Chordata; Mammalia; Primates; Hominidae.
UUUUUUUUUUUAGACAGAGUCUUGCUCUGUUGCCCAGGCUGGAGUGCAGUGAUCUCAGCUCACUGGAAGCUCCGCCUCCUGGGUUCAAGCGAUUCUCCUAUCUCAACCUCCCAAGUGUGCCACCACACCUGCCGAAUUUUUGUGUUUUUAGUAGAGAUGGGGUUCGCCAUGUUGGGCAGGCUGGUCUCAAACUCCUGACCUCAAGUGAUCUGCCCGCCUCGGCCUCCCAGAGUGCUGGGAUUAUAGGCUUGAGCCACCAUGCCUGGACAUGACCCUGUCUCUAAAACGAUGUAAUGAAUUGCAGCUCAUUCUUGUGUGCACUUUUCUGCACCCCCUUUCCCUUAACACUUACUAUUGUCUGGCAUGCUACGUGUUUUCUUGAUCUCAUUAGUCUCUCCCACCCCAACUGCCAUACUGCACUAUCAGAGGGCAGCACUUAUCACUGCUGUAGAACAAAGUCCUGCACAGAGCCGAUGGCCCAGAAAUUUUCUUUUUAUUUAUUUGUUUUUUUUUUUUUUUUGAGACGGAGUCUUACUCUGUCGCUCAGGCUGGAGUGUAGUGGCGCGAUCUCAGCUCACUGCAACCUCUGCCUCCUGGUUUCAAGCAAUUCUCCUUCCUCAGCCUCCAGAGUAGCUGGGAUUACACGCGCCUGCCACUGCGCCCGGCUAAUUUUUGUAUUUUUAGUAGAGAUGGGGUUUCGACCAUGUUGGCCAGGCUGGUCUCAAACUCCUGACCUCAGGUGAUCCUGCCCACCUAAGCCUCCCAAAAUGCUGGUAUUACAGGCAUGAGCCACCGUGCCCGGCCUAAAUAUUUAAUAAAAUAAUGGACGAUGGGUGCCUUCUACUGAGCUCCCGGUAAUUGUGAGUGAGUAGAGGACUUGCCCUGGGGAAAUUCAGUGACCUGCUGGGUGUUGCUGAGCUGUGAGGAAGUUCAGGUCUGGCUGCAGUGGUGAGGCUGUGACUCAAUCAAUCACUGCUGAUGCUCCCAGGACCUGCACCAGCUUAGUCCCAGGGGCAAGGAUUUUAACUGUCCACCUCAGUUUCUUCAUUUGUAAGAUGCAAAUAACAGUCACCCCUGCCUCAUGGGAUGGAGCUUGUAAUGCCCGCAACAGUGCCUGCUGCACAGAGGGGCUUGCUGCCAGCUCCCUCUCCCUCCUUGUCUCUUACCUGCCUGCUGCCUGGGACAGGAUGAAGAGGGGCCCUUGUGUUGCCCCCACCCUGGCUGCCUGCUAAGGGCCCAUGUGAUCUGCCUGGCAGAGGAGUUUCUUCAGGAAGAACCAGGGCAGCUUCUGCCCCUAGAGGGCCAAUGCCCUUGCUGUGAGAAGUCACUGCUUUGGGGAGACCUGAUCUGGCUGUGCCAGAUGGACACUGAGAAAGAAGUAGAAGACUCAGAAUUAGAAGAGGAACAUGGAGCUGAUCCAGGACACCUCCCGCCCGCCACUGGAGUACGUGAAGGGGGUCCCGCUCAUCAAGUACUUUGCAGAGGCGCUGGGGCCCCUGCAAAGCUUCCAGGCCCGGCCUGAUGACCUGCUCAUCAGCACCUACCCCAAGUCUGGCACCACCUGGGUGAGCCAGAUACUGGACAUGAUCUACCAGGGCGGCGAUCUAGAGAAGUGUAACCGGGCUCCCAUCUACAUGCGGGUGCCCUUCCUUGAGGUCAAUGAUCCAGGGGAACCCUCAGGGAUGGAGACUCUGAAAGACACACCGCCCCCACGGCUCAUCAAGUCACACCUGCCCCUGGCUCUGCUCCCUCAGACUCUGUUGGAUCAGAAGGUCAAGGUGGUCUAUGUUGCCCGAAACCCAAAGGACGUGGCGGUCUCCUACUACCAUUUCCACCGUAUGGAAAAGGCGCACCCUGAGCCUGGGACCUGGGACAGCUUCCUGGAAAAGUUCAUGGCUGGAGAAGUGUCCUACGGGUCCUGGUACCAGCACGUGCAGGAGUGGUGGGAGCUGAGCCGCACCCACCCUGUUCUCUACCUCUUCUAUGAAGACAUGAAGGAGAACCCCAAAAGGGAGAUUCAAAAGAUCCUGGAGUUUGUGGGGCGCUCCCUGCCAGAGGAGACCGUGGACUUCAUGGUUCAGCACACGUCGUUCAAGGAGAUGAAGAAGAACCCUAUGACCAACUACACCACCGUCCCCCAGGAGCUCAUGGACCACAGCAUCUCCCCCUUCAUGAGGAAAGGCAUGGCUGGGGACUGGAAGACCACCUUCACCGUGGCGCAGAAUGAGCGCUUCGAUGCGGACUAUGCGGAGAAGAUGGCAGGCUGCAGCCUCAGCUUCCGCUCUGAGCUGUGAGAGGGGCUCCUGGAGUCACUGCAGAGGGAGUGUGCGAAUCUACCCUGACCAAUGGGCUCAAGAAUAAAGUAUGAUUUUUGAGUCAGGC